UGCACGAAGAAAUAACAAUACACAAAAGAAUAAGUGAAAUAAAAGCCGCAAUGACAGGGAUGACGGCGCAAAGAAUCGUGAGAAUCAUCAUAGUUAUGGCUGAUAACACUAUUAGUACGCAUUGGUCGAUUCAACUAAGGUAAGUUCAAUUUGAUCCGAAGAAGGAAAAAGCAAUAUGACACAAAGAAUAAGAUCUAAAGAAAAGAGGAUCACCAAAUCGAAAUCGGCGGGAGUGCUGGAGAGCUUCUACAAAGUUAAUCCGCUUUUAGCAGAUGAAAUUUUUAUCUCAAGAUAUUGCUUUAUUUAUAAAAGAAAUUAUAAAAUAUAAUUUAGAUAGAAUGCAUGUAAUGAUAUUGUAAUGAUAUUCGAUAAAAACAGAAUAGCCUUAUAAAAUGACUUGAUAAACUA
Molecule: long non-coding RNA, 408 nt
Organism: Atta colombica
Lineage: Eukaryota; Metazoa; Arthropoda; Insecta; Hymenoptera; Formicidae
Exons: 4
Source: RefSeq, a predicted model, not a curated record